RNAcentral lists this long non-coding RNA (724 nucleotides) under Pan troglodytes (chimpanzee). RNAcentral's name for it is "long non-coding RNA NONPTRT011865". The record is from RNAcentral. Lineage: Eukaryota; Metazoa; Chordata; Mammalia; Primates; Hominidae.
ACCCAAAAAAAUCAACUUUGUGUGAAAAAUAAGAUAAAGUAGAUACCUGAUUUUACUUCAAAAAAUAACAUAUAAAACAUAAAAAUUAUUUAUGUCUGUUACUUUGUCAACUGUGUAUGUGUUUGUCUCUGUACAUAAAAUUUGAUAUCAGAGCAGCACCUUCAAAGGUGGAGAUUACACCAGUGACAAUGUGUCUGAGCUUCAGUCUUUCUUGACUUCUUGAUUUGCUCUUGACAUUAACAGCACCAACUUCUACUUGGUUGUGAUGGAUGAGAGGAUGAGACUAGAAUUUUAUGGUCUCCAUGGUGAUGCCAAGUUGCGUUCUUGGCGCACUGUAUGCCCUUAAAUAACACUUAUUAGAUGAAUGGAUGACUUCUAGCAAGAAAGGUCAAAAGCAUAAUCUUCAAAAAAUAGGCUGCCCUAGAGUUCUAAGCAGCCCUACGAAUUCUCCACACUAUUCAUUGAACGGCUAAGAGGUGCUACCCUCUUUGACUUAAGUAGCUAAAGAGCUUAUGUCAAUCAUUUAUAAACCCUCUCUUUAAAAAUAUUCCUCUGUAAGUGAAUAAAAUUCUCUUUGACUAUUUUUCUCGGGAUUAAACAUCUCUAAGUUACAUAUGUCAUGUUUGUAAAUUUUUCUCUGUGAUAGUAUGAAUUUCUCCAUUAAUAUGCCAUAGAAUGUUUCCAGGAAGGAAGAUGAUCCAGCUUUUAUUCUUUAUUCAUGUAU